GGAACGUGUCCUUAAGUGGGGAAUAACGCAUCGAAAGAUGUGCUAAUACCGCAUAUCUCUGAGGAGAAAAGCAGGGGAUCGCAAGACCUUGCGCUAAAGGAGCGGCCGAUGUCUGAUUAGCUAGUUGGUGGGGUAAAGGCUUACCAAGGCAACGAUCAGUAGUUGGUCUGAGAGGACGGCCAGCCACACUGGGACUGAGACACGGCCCAGACUCCUACGGGAGGCAGCAGUGGGGAAUUUUGGACAAUGGGCGAAAGCCUGAUCCAGCCAUGCCGCGUGAGUGAAGAAGGCCUUCGGGUUGUAAAGCUCUUUUAGUCGGAAAGAAAGAGUUGCAAUGAAUAAUUGUGAUUUAUGACGGUACCGACAGAAAAAGCACCGGCUAACUACUUCC
RNAcentral lists this ribosomal RNA (391 nucleotides) under uncultured beta proteobacterium LV3M. RNAcentral's name for it is "bacterial SSU rRNA". It matches the Rfam family "Bacterial small subunit ribosomal RNA", at positions 121 to 508 of the family's 1533-position model. Lineage: Bacteria; Pseudomonadati; Pseudomonadota; Betaproteobacteria; Nitrosomonadales; Nitrosomonadaceae. The record is from RNAcentral.